GGCAACCUUGAGGUUCUAACUCUGGUCCGUUAUCCGGAUCGAGGACAGUGUAUGGUGGGUAGUUUGACUGGGGCGGUCUCCUCCUAAAGAGUAACGGAGGAGUACGAAGGUGCGCUCAGACCGGUCGGAAAUCGGUCGCAGAGUAUAAAGGCAAAAGCGCGCUUGACUGCGAGACAGACACGUCGAGCAGGUACGAAAGUAGGUCUUAGUGAUCCGGUGGUUCCGUAUGGAAGGGCCAUCGCUCAACGGAUAAAAGGUACUCCGGGGAUAACAGGCUGAUACCGCCCAAGAGUUCAUAUCGACGGCGGUGUUUGGCACCUCGAUGUCGGCUCAUCACAUCCUGGGGCUGAAGCCGGUCCCAAGGGUAUGGCUGUUCGCCAUUUAAAGUGGUACGCGAGCUGGGUUUAGAACGUCGUGAGACAGUUCGGUCCCUAUCUGCCGUGGACGUUUGAGAUUUGAGAGGGGCUGCUCCUAGUACGAGAGGACCGGAGUGGACGAACCUCUGGUGUUCCGGUUGUCACGCCAGUGGCAUUGCCGGGUAGCUACGUUCGGAAGAGAUAACCGCUGAAAGCAUCUAAGCGGGAAACUUGCCUCAAGAUGAGAUCUCACUGGAGCCUUGAGCUCCCUGAAGGGCCGUCGAAGACUACGACGUUGAUAGGUUGGGUGUGUAAGCGCUGUGAGGCGUUGAGCUAACCAAUACUAAUUGCCCGUGAGGCUUGACCAUAUAACACCCAAACAAUU
This 741-nucleotide ribosomal RNA is filed under the name Streptococcus pneumoniae. Its description in RNAcentral is "bacterial LSU rRNA". It matches the Rfam family "Bacterial large subunit ribosomal RNA", at positions 2207 to 2925 of the family's 2925-position model. The record is from RNAcentral. Lineage: Bacteria; Bacillati; Bacillota; Bacilli; Lactobacillales; Streptococcaceae.